GGGUUGUGAGGUUAAGCGACUAAGCGUACACGGUGGAUGCCCUGGCAGUCAGAGGCGAUGAAGGGCGUGCUAAUCUGCGAUAAGCGCCGGUAAGGUGAUAUGAACCGUUAUAACCGGCGAUACCCGAAUGGGGAAACCCAGUGUGACUCGUCACACUAUCAUUAACUGAAUCCAUAGGUUAAUGAGGCGAACCGGGGGAACUGAAACAUCUAAGUACCCCGAGGAAAAGAAAUCAACCGAGAUUCCCCCAGUAGCGGCGAGCGAACGGGGAGGAGCCCAGAGCCUGAAUCAGCAUGUGUGUUAGUGGAAGCGUCUGGAAAGGCGCGCGAUACAGGGUGACAGCCCCGUACACAAAAGCGCAUGUGCUGUGAGCUCGAUGAGUAGGGCGGGACACGUGGUAUCCUGUCUGAAUAUGGGGGGACCAUCCUCCAAGGCUAAAUACUCCUGACUGACCGAUAGUGAACCAGUACCGUGAGGGAAAGGCGAAAAGAACCCCGGCGAGGGGAGUGAAAAAGAACCUGAAACCGUGUACGUACAAGCAGUGGGAGCCCCACCACCAAAGCAUUUGCUGUACCGCGUUGACGG
This 585-nucleotide ribosomal RNA is filed under the name Salmonella enterica subsp. enterica serovar Enteritidis. Its description in RNAcentral is "partial 23S ribosomal RNA". It matches the Rfam family "Bacterial large subunit ribosomal RNA", at positions 1 to 591 of the family's 2925-position model. The record is from RNAcentral. Lineage: Bacteria; Pseudomonadati; Pseudomonadota; Gammaproteobacteria; Enterobacterales; Enterobacteriaceae.